This 783-nucleotide ribosomal RNA is filed under the name Haptophyta environmental samples. RNAcentral's name for it is "eukaryotic LSU rRNA". It matches the Rfam family "Eukaryotic large subunit ribosomal RNA", at positions 133 to 1003 of the family's 3401-position model. The record is from RNAcentral. Lineage: Eukaryota; Haptophyta.
GCCCCCCGAAUUGUGGUCUAGAAAGGCGUUAUCGGCCGUGUUCACCGCUCAAAUCCCUUGGAACAGGGUAUCGGAGAAGGUGAGAAUCCUGUGCCGCGGUGCUGCAUGGCCGCACGAUGCGUCCUUGUCGAGUCGGGUUGCUUGGGAUUGCAGCUUGAAUUGGGUGGUAAAUUCCAUCUAAAGCUAAAUACUGGCUCAUGACCGAUAGCGAACAAGUACCGUGAGGGAAAGAUGCAAAGAACUUUGAAAAGAGAGUUAAAGAGUGCUUGAAAUUGGAGCGAGGAAACCCGUUUGCGCCCGGCUUCGCGCCGUCGACUCAGCCGUCUCGAAAGCGGUGCACUUUGUCGGCGCGGGUCUACGCGACUGUGCGCAUUUCACAACCACCUGGGGGGCUUCGGUGAGCCAGGACAUGUUUGCGCGCGGUUCCGUCGGACGGAACGGGCGCAACCGACCCGUCUAGAAACACGGACCAAGGAGUCUGACACGGAUGCGAGUACCCGGGUGGCAAGCCCGCGUGCGCAAUGAAAGUGAAGGGCAUGCCCUGCCAACCGACCUUGAUCUUCUGUGAAGGGUUUGAGUGGAGCAUACUUGUCGGGACCCGAAAGAUGGUGAACUAUGCCUGAGGAGGGUGAAGCCAGAGGAAACUCUGGUGGAGGCUCGUAGCGAUACUGACGUGCAAAUCGUUCGUCGAACUUGGGUAUAGGGGCGAAAGACUAAUCGAACCAUCUAGUAGCUGGUUCCCUCCGAAGUUUCCCUCAGGAUAGCUUGAACGCCACGGUUUUG